AAAAAAUAUAAAAAAUAAAAUAGAUAUUGACAUGGAUUAAACAAAGAUAUAUAUUAUUCUAUGUUCGCAUAAACAAAUUCGGCAAAGUAGAGANGGAAGAUAAAAAUAUGGUCAAAGUAAUAAGAGUCUAUGGUGAAUGCCUAGGAGCUUUAAGGCGAAGAAGGUCGUGGUAAGCUGCGAAAAGCUUGGGGGAGAAGCAAACAUUUAUUGAUCCCAAGAUUACCGAAUGGAGUAAUCCAGCUAGCAAGAUGCUAGCUAUCUAUUAUUUAAUAAUAGAGGCGAUACCAGGGGAAGUGAACC
Molecule: unclassified non-coding RNA, 300 nt
Filed under: uncultured Borreliella sp.
Lineage: Bacteria; Pseudomonadati; Spirochaetota; Spirochaetia; Spirochaetales; Borreliaceae
Description: partial 5S-23S intergenic spacer
Rfam family: Bacterial large subunit ribosomal RNA (bases 110-300)
Source: RNAcentral